AUGAACUUCAAGGGCGCCAGGAUGCCGAGCGCGCCGGCGGGCGCGGGCGCGCUGGUCAAGCUCGGGCUGCUGGGCGGCGCCGCGCUCUACUCGGCAACAAGACCCUCUACAACGUCGAGGGAGGCCACCGGGCCAUCGUCUUCAACCGCCUCGAGGGGAUCAAGGACAAGGUCUACCCCGAGGGGACUCACAUCGUCAUCCCGUGGUUCGAGAGGCCCAUCAUCUACGACGUCCGUGCGCGACCCAACCUCGUCGAGAGCACCUCCGGGAGCCGGGAUCUCCAGAUGGACCCUGGGGGAGAACUAUAACGAGAGAGUGCUGCCUUCAAUCAUUCAUGAAACACUCAAAGCUGUGGUUGCCCAAUACAAUGCCAGUCAGCUAAUCACACAGAGAGAGGCUGUGAGCAGGGAGAUCAGGAAGAUUCUGACAGAGAGGGCGAAGAACUUCAACAUCGCUCUGGAUGAUGUGUCCAUUACCAGUCUCAGCUUUGGUAAGGAGUUCACUCAUGCCAUUGAAGCCAAACAGGUUGCUGCUCAGGAAGCUGAGCGUGCCAAGUUCAUUGUUGAGAAGGCUGAGCAAGACAAGAAAAGUGCAAUUAUCAGGGCACAGGGAGAAGCAAAGAGUGCAGAGCUGAUUGGUAAUGCCAUUGCCAACAACCCUGCUUUUGUGGCGCUCAGGCAGAUUGAAGCCGCCAGGGAGAUCGCCCACACCAUCGCAGCCUCCAACAACAAGGUGUUCCUCGACUCGGGCGACCUGCUGCUUGGGCUCCAGUCGCUCAAGAUGUUGAACAACAACAACAAGAAAUGA
RNAcentral lists this ribosomal RNA (807 nucleotides) under Triticum aestivum (bread wheat). Its description in RNAcentral is "partial small subunit ribosomal RNA". The record is from RNAcentral. Lineage: Eukaryota; Viridiplantae; Streptophyta; Magnoliopsida; Poales; Poaceae.